GUUGGUGUAGCUCAGUGGUAGAGUGCAUGCUUGGUAUGUAUGAUGCCCUGGGUUCAAUCUCCAGCUUCUACC
RNAcentral lists this transfer RNA (72 nucleotides) under Dallia pectoralis (Alaska blackfish). Its description in RNAcentral is "tRNA-Thr". It matches the Rfam family "tRNA". Rfam says of the family: Transfer RNA (tRNA) molecules are approximately 80 nucleotides in length. Their secondary structure includes four short double-helical elements and three loops (D, anti-codon, and T loops). Lineage: Eukaryota; Metazoa; Chordata; Actinopteri; Esociformes; Umbridae. The record is from RNAcentral.